This 74-nucleotide transfer RNA is filed under the name Mastocarpus papillatus. Its description in RNAcentral is "tRNA-Met". It matches the Rfam family "tRNA". From Rfam's summary of the family: Transfer RNA (tRNA) molecules are approximately 80 nucleotides in length. Their secondary structure includes four short double-helical elements and three loops (D, anti-codon, and T loops). Further hydrogen bonds mediate the characteristic L-shaped molecular structure. tRNAs have two regions of fundamental functional importance: the anti-codon, which is responsible for specific mRNA codon recognition, and the 3' end, to which the tRNAs corresponding amino acid is attached (by aminoacyl-tRNA synthetases). tRNAs cope with the degeneracy of the genetic code in two manners: having more than one tRNA (with a specific anti-codon) for a particular amino acid; and 'wobble' base-pairing, i.e. permitting non-standard base-pairing at the 3rd anti-codon position. The record is from RNAcentral. Lineage: Eukaryota; Rhodophyta; Florideophyceae; Gigartinales; Phyllophoraceae.
GGCGAAGUAGUUCAAAUGGUUAGAACGUUGGAAUCAUAAUCCAAAAGCUGUGGGUUCAAAUCCUAUUUUCGCUA